CUGAGAAACAUUUCAGACUGCUUCCUGUGAGGGUUCCCUGCAUUAAACAGAUGUUUGAGGAAUCAACUGAGGAGAAGACAAAGAAUCUAGAUCCAUCCAAGACAACAGACAAUAGCUCUGUGUGCCAUGUCUGGGAGAAGAAGCAGGCCGGGAGAUGUGUGGCUGAGUGAUAUAAACCUUCUAUUUUUGGUUCACAGCUGGAGAGUAAUUUUGUCACAGGAUGAAAUGUGCUUCAAGUCUCACCCAUAUCUGAUUGAGAUGAUACACGCACGAGGCUUUGGACUUUGGACUUUAGAGUUGACUCUGGAAUAAGGUAAGAUUUUGGGGGCUGUUGGGAUGGAAUUAAUGGACUUUGCAUGUGAGGAAGGCAUGAAUUUAGGGGGCCAAGGACUGAAUGUUUGUGUCCUCCCCAAAUUCAUAUAUUGAAGCCCUAAGCUCCCAAUGCAAUGAUAUUUGGAGCUGGGGCCUUUGGGAGGUAAUUAGGUGAUGAGGGUGGAGCCCCUCAUGAAUGAGGUGAGUGCUGUUAUAAAAAGAGACAUGAGAGAUGAUCUCUCUUUGCCCUGGGGGAACAUAGCUGGAAGGCAGGCAUCUGUAAACCAGGAAGAAGACCUUCACCAGAAAUGGAACUGGACUUGAUUUUGAACUUCCCAGCCUCCAGAACCGUGAGAAAUAAAUUUCUGUUGUUUAAACCACCCACCCUGUGGUGUUUUGUUACAGCAGCUUAAGCUGACCAAGACAGUAAUAAAGUGCCACGCUGGCCCUGAACUGCUUAACUCUGGA
This is a long non-coding RNA of Camelus dromedarius (Arabian camel), 780 nucleotides long. RefSeq lists it as uncharacterized. Lineage: Eukaryota; Metazoa; Chordata; Mammalia; Artiodactyla; Camelidae. The transcript is spliced from 3 exons. The record is from RefSeq and is a predicted model, not a curated record.